RNAcentral lists this ribosomal RNA (460 nucleotides) under uncultured bacterium. Its description in RNAcentral is "partial 16S ribosomal RNA". It matches the Rfam family "Bacterial small subunit ribosomal RNA", at positions 338 to 795 of the family's 1533-position model. The record is from RNAcentral.
CCUACGGGUGGCUGCAGUGAGGAAUAUUGGUCAAUGGGCGCGAGCCUGAACCAGCCAAGUAGCGUGAAGGAUGACUGCCCUACGGGUUGUAAACUUCUUUUAUAAAGGAAUAAAGUGAGGCACGUGUGCCUUUUUGUAUGUACUUUAUGAAUAAGGAUCGGCUAACUCCGUGCCAGCAACCGCGGUAAUACGGAGGUUCCAAGCGUUAUCCGGAUUUAUUGGGUGUAAAGGGAGCGUAGAUGGGUUGUUAAGUCAGUUGUGAAAGUUUGCGGCUCAACCGGAAAAUUGCAAUGGAUACUGGCAGCCUUGAGUACAGUAGAGGUAGGCGGAAUUCGAGGUGUAGCGGUGAAAUGAUUAGAUAUCACGAAGAACUCCGAUUGCGAAGGCAGCUUACUAAACUGCCACUGACAUUGAUGCUCGAAAGUGUGGGUAUCAAACAGGAUUAGAUACCCUAGUAGUC